AAAACCUAGACCCUGCCAAACCACUAGUAACAGCGCAGCUGCUUAUCUACCUGUAUUGCCAACCUUAAUAAAAUUGAGACUACCUGUAUCAACAGUUACACUGCAUCGUCCCUUCAUAAAUAUGGGCAAAGAGCAGAAGCAAACAUACUUCCUCCAUGACAAAUUAGUGAGUAUAAAUUACAAACAAAUCCCUGUUAUUGUGGGCACUUUCAACUAACCCUGUCAUGUUAGGGAGUGUUUAACAGAGGUCACCAUCAUGGUCAUCUACACUUGAACUGAAACAUCUCCAUGUCUAUGUAAGGCAUCGCCGCGUAUCCUGGCAAAUAAGUAUACUCCAUAUGCAUAUCAUCCCAUAGUUGAACAGCUGCCAGUCUCCCUGUAUAAUCAACCCUUGUGAUGAGGAGGAAGA
This 409-nucleotide ribosomal RNA is filed under the name Pinus taeda (loblolly pine). RNAcentral's name for it is "partial hypothetical protein". The record is from RNAcentral. Lineage: Eukaryota; Viridiplantae; Streptophyta; Pinopsida; Pinales; Pinaceae.